ACUCAAAGGAAUUGACGGGGACCCGCACAAGCGGUGGAGUAUGUGGUUUAAUUCGAAGCAACGCGCAGAACCUUACCAACCUUUGACAUGCCAAGUAAAAAUAUCAGAGAUGAUAUUGUCACCUCGGGUGGCUUGGCACAGGUGCUGCAUGGCUGUCGUCAGCUCGUGUCGUGAGAUGUUGGGUUAAGUCCCGCAACGAGCGCAACCCCCACCAUUAGUUGCCAGCAGGUUUGGCUGGGCACUUUAAUGGAACUGCCGGUGAUAAGCCGGAGGAAGGUGGGGAUGAUGUCAAGUCCUCAUGGCCCUUAUGGGUUGGGCUACACACGUACUACAAUGGUGGUGACAACGGGGAGCUAAGGGGAAACCUGGAGCUAAUCCUAAAAAAGCCACCACAGUUCAGAUUGUCCUCUGCAACUCGAGGGCAUGAAGUUGGAAUCGCUAGUAAUCGCGGAUCAGCAUGUCGCGGUGAAUACGUUCCCGGGUCUUGUACACACCGCCCGU
Molecule: ribosomal RNA, 501 nt
Filed under: uncultured bacterium
Lineage: Bacteria
Description: partial 16S ribosomal RNA
Rfam family: Bacterial small subunit ribosomal RNA
Source: RNAcentral